AUUAGAGUUGAUCUCGGCUGGUGAUUUCACUAGUCCGCGCAGGUGCCAAGCCCGGAUUGGGCCCGCUGCUCCCCUCUCGUCUCCCGUCGUCGGACCACCGGCGACCCCUCUUCCAAGCCGCCAUCGUCCUCACCUCCGGCACUUCCUCUUCUCCACCACUCGACCCAGCUCAGCAGCAGGGCGGCGGACGGGAGGAUGAUGGGGAGCAACAACCCCGGCGGCGCUGGGGGAGGGGGAGGGAUGGCCCCGGGCACGGGGGCCGGCGGCAGCGACGGGCGGCACGACGACGAGGCCGUGCUCACCGAGUUCCUCUCCUCCCUCAUGGACUACAAUCCCACGAUCCCGGACGAGCUCGUGGAGCACUACCUCGGCCGAAGCGGCUUCCACUGCCCCGACCUACGCCUAACAAGGCUGGUUGCUGUAGCUGCUCAAAAGUUCAUUUCAGACAUUGCAAGUGACUCUCUUCAGUACGUGAAUCCACAACCUCACCAGUUUGCCUUUUCACCGCAAUGCAUUUCGUCUGUUGGUGCACUGCAAAGCCAGGGUUGCAGCACCUGUCAAAGAUAACAAGAGCAAACAACCAAAGGAUAGACGUCUUGUAUUGACAAUGGAUGAUCUUUCAAAAGCCUUGCGUGAGCAUGGUGUUAAUCUGAAACAUCCAGAGUAUUUUGCGGACAGCCCAUCAGCAGGGAUGGCCCCCUCAACAAGAGAGGAGUAGAAUCGAUUGCUUCUUCAACAAGAGAGGGCUAGAAUCAAUUGUUUCUUAUAAGCGUACCCAGUGAACGGUCGUGUCCUUCCCAACUUUAUGUAACAAAACCUUAUAAGCAUGUAUCGAAUGUCAGUUCUUGAUGUAUUAUGGACCCGUAGUUGCCUUCA
RNA transcript from Triticum aestivum (bread wheat), 876 nucleotides. It is a transcript of the gene named transcription initiation factor TFIID subunit 10, with no coding region annotated. The transcript has 6 exons. Lineage: Eukaryota; Viridiplantae; Streptophyta; Magnoliopsida; Poales; Poaceae. The record is from RefSeq and is a predicted model, not a curated record.